RNAcentral lists this ribosomal RNA (117 nucleotides) under Microcebus murinus (gray mouse lemur). The record is from RNAcentral. Lineage: Eukaryota; Metazoa; Chordata; Mammalia; Primates; Cheirogaleidae.
GUCUACGGCCAUACCACCCUGAAUGGGCCCGAUCUUGUCUGAUCUCGGAAGCUAAGCAGGUUCGGGCCUGGUUAGUACUUGGAUGGGAGAACCUGAGAAGAUUUGUAGCUUUCUUUA